RNAcentral lists this unclassified non-coding RNA (2593 nucleotides) under Megachile rotundata (alfalfa leafcutting bee). RNAcentral describes it as "sodium/potassium-transporting ATPase subunit alpha-B- like, transcript variant X1". Lineage: Eukaryota; Metazoa; Arthropoda; Insecta; Hymenoptera; Megachilidae. The record is from RNAcentral.
AGUUAUACAAACUCAUGUAAGUGCAUUUUCUAACAAGUAGGCCUUGACUUUAGCCAUAAAGAAAAAAUUGAAUUUUAAAGAUGCCAUAUUCAUAUCUGUUUGAAUAGAUUCAAAUGCAAUGCAAAUAGCAGCUGAAAUUAUGAAACAUACAAAUUCUGCUCCAAUCACUAAGAAAAGGCUUACUGUAGGUGAAAUAGAAGAUCUACACCAAGAACUGAGAACCGAAGAUCAUAUGAUUCCUUUGGAACAACUAUGUCAUAAAUUAAAUACUGAUGUUGAUAAUGGUUUAACAGAAGAAGAGGUGAGCAAGGUUUUCCAUAUAGUGGGACCAAAUGCUCUGACCCCACCUAAAGUAACUCCAGAAUACAUUAAAUUCAUUAAGUGUAUGUUUCAUGGAUUCGCUGGCCUGUUAUGGGGCUGUGCAUUUUUAUGCCUCAUUUUGUACGGACUCAGUAUGCUACUUGAAGGUACAGGUGGUGGCAUUGAAUGGUUGGGAGUUAUCAUUAUACUGAUUUGUUUACUCUCAGGAAUAUGUGCAUAUGUACAAGAAAGUAAAAAUACAAAAGUGAUGGAGUCAUUUAAAAAAAUGGUACCUACUUUUGCAACAGUAAUAAGAGGUGGUGUUAAACAACGUAUAGCAACUGAGGAGUUAGUCCCAGGGGAUCUAGUACAUAUUAAAUUCGGUGAUAAAAUACCAGCUGAUAUCAGGAUCAUAAAAUGUCAGGAGCUUAGAGUUGAAAACUCAAGCAUUACCGGUGAAAGUGAACCUGUAGUUCGAACAAAUUAUCCUACAGACGAAAAUCCCUUAGAAUCAUCUAAUGUCGCCUUUUUCUCAUCUUUUGCCGUGGAUGGAGAAGGAUACGGCAUAGUGAUAGCCACCGGUGAUAACACAAUGAUAGGACGACUCGCUGGUCUUACAUCUCAGCUUGAAAAAGAGGAUACACCAAUUGCUAAAGAAAUCGGACACUUUGUUCAAAUAAUCACCACUGUAGCUGUACUAUUUGGAACGCUAUUUUUUGUAUUAUCAUUGAUAAUUGAGCCCAAUAUCCUCAAAGCAUUUACUUAUAUGCUAGGUAUAGUGAUAGCCAAUGUUCCUGAAGUCUUGCUUGUCACCGUUACCACAAGUUUAACACUAACGGCACAAAAAAUGGCAGAAAAGAAUUGCUUAGUUAAAAACCUGGAAGCUGUUGAAACACUUGGAUCUACCUCAACCAUUUGUUCAGAUAAAACUGGAACUCUGACACAAAACAAAAUGAGUGUGUCUAAUUUAUGGUUCGGACACACAAGGUACCAUUUUCCGCCAGGCCAAAUAUUAGGCAUUGAGAAGCAUCUACUAUUGGAUAAACCAGCUUUUAACAUAAUGAUCAAAAACGCUACUCUUUGUUUACGCGCAGAAUUUGUUACGGAAUUCAUCUUAGUGAGCCCGAUAGAAGAACGAGAGAUACUCGGUGACGCAUCUGAAACAGGUAUCCUCAGAUUCUGUGAACAUAUACACUCUACAGAGAAGUUCAGAGAAGCCCACCCAAAGGUUGCAGAAAUACCAUUCAACUCUGUAACCAAGUACCAAAUGUCCAUUCAUCAGGAUGAAGAUGGAUAUACAAUGAUUUUGAAAGGUGCACCAGAAAUAAUCCUGGAAAAAUGCUCCCAUAUAUUAAAUUCUGAUGGAGAAACAAAAGAGGUGACUCCACUGGAUCUGACAAUUUCUCGAAGAGCCUGUGCAGAGUUAGGAUAUAUCGGUGAACGUGUAUUAGCUUAUUGUGAUCUUCAUUUGCCUGCCAGUAAAUAUGGUGUAGACUUCAAGUUCAAUACUGACUCUGCAAGUACAUACAACUUCCCAACAAAGGGUUACAGGUUCGUUGGACUAAUUAGUCUCCUUGAUCCUCCGAGACCAGCUGUGCCCGAUGCUGUCAAAAAGUGUCGUACAGCUGGUAUCAAAGUAAUAAUGGUAACAGGUGAUCAUCCAGUGACAGCAAUGGCAAUAGCAAAAAAGGUGGGCAUCAUAGGCGAAGGUCAUGAAACUAAAUACGAACGAGCAAUAUUACAAAAUAAAUCAUACACUCAAAUAACUGAUGAUGACAGCGACGCCAUAAUCAUUACUGGUUCUGAACUGAGAAACAUGGACACAAAAGAAUUGGAUCGCGUUAUACGAAACUAUCAGGAAAUAGUUUUCGCGAGAACAUCUCCACAACAGAAAUUACUCAUCGUAGAAAGUUGUCAACGACUAGGGGAGAUUGUCGCAGUAACUGGUGAUGGAGUCAAUGAUUCACCAGCAUUGAGGAAAGCGGACAUCGGUGUGGCUAUGGGCAUAACUGGCUCCGACGUGGCGAAAAACGCAGCCGACAUGAUUCUUAUGGAUGAUAAUUUUGCAUCUAUUGUAACUGGAAUUGAAGAAGUUGCACACGUGACGUCUUUUCCUUUCAAAUCGUGCUGUUGAGAGAACGCAAUGGGACGUUAUUCGCAUGAACCGGUGAAUGCGACCAAAUCGUGCAAAGCGCGAGGCUCGAAUUUGCGAGUGCACUUCAAGAACACUCAUGAAACAGCACGAGCUAUUAAGAAUAUGCCCUUGCGGAGGGCACAGAGAUACUUGAAGAAU